UUUUAUUUGAGAGUUUGAUCCUGGCUCAGGAUGAACGCUGGCGGCGUGCCUAACACAUGCAAGUCGAACGAAGCACCUUUUAAGAUUCUUCGGAUGAUUGAUCGGUGAC
This 109-nucleotide ribosomal RNA is filed under the name Anaerobutyricum soehngenii. RNAcentral's name for it is "partial 16S ribosomal RNA". It matches the Rfam family "Bacterial small subunit ribosomal RNA", at positions 1 to 110 of the family's 1533-position model. The record is from RNAcentral. Lineage: Bacteria; Bacillati; Bacillota; Clostridia; Lachnospirales; Lachnospiraceae.